AGGGGCUACGUGUCGCAAUCCGAAGCGACUUAUGGAACCAACAUCGAACGACUGUGGCGCUGCCACGUCAUAAGUGUCGCACCAGACUUCGUAAUUUCGACUUUGAACUUCAAAAAUUCGUAUCUUUCGCAUAUGAACUCCGUUUUCGAUGUUAUUUAUAUCCACGCGAAGGUGGGAACGUACUCUACAACUUUCGUUUAGACUCCGUCAGCUAAUUUUGACUUUAUUUUAAAAGUUACAUUAUUAACUGGCCGGGACAACAUUGGUCCGUUAAAUUCUCAUAACUUCUUCAUCCGACGUCCGUUUUCACCCAUCUUUUUCUCAUUACGCUACUCUUAACGAGAUAUUCGAUUCUCGUUUAGGUCGUGUCAGCUAAAAACCGCUCGAUCUAAUAUUUGAAUUUCGGGUUGUACACUGCUAAGCUGAAACUUCGAAAAAUCAUAACUUCCUCAUAUGAAGUCAGAUUUGGGCGUUCUUUUUAUGGUGCUCUCGGUUUAACGUAUUCUACGACUAUCGGUUAGAUCACUAAGGCUAGAUCUCGCUCUAUCAUAAAUUCACUAUUUACGCUUCCCGGUAUCGUGUCGGUUCCAUCGCGAAACUUCGACGGGUCAUAACUUCUUCGUUAUAACUCGGAUUUCGGCGUUCUUUAUAUGUACGGAGACCUUGUGACAUAUUCUAAAUCUUGGUUAACAUUAUUUAUUCUAAAUAAUAUUUUUUUUGAAAAGUCGUUUUCGACCCCUAUUGCGUCUAAAUUGGCUAGCCUAGAUCUGCGGGCGUUACAAUUAUCUCCCCCUUAGGUUGAUUACGUCCCAGAAUCAUCAACGAAACAGGGCUCGUAUAAUGACUCCAUACGUCAUCUUUUCAUCCUAGGUAAUAAUUAUAAGUUCUAUUUUCCUUCAAGUCCAUCUCUUAGACUCACAUAUUGUAAGCAGUACUCGAUCAUGCACCUGUUCUCCACCUCAGGCUAGACUCCAAAUUAUGACCUUCAAGUCACAAUCUCGAUCCUUACUGGAUACGAACUUAAGAUAAGUUCUUUUACUACUACUAUGGAUCUAUGUGUCAUAUUCUAAUGACCUAUCAUCGUAUGUUGCAACGCAUAGAUUUAGGUCUUUUAGAGUUAUAUUCUAAAACAGACCAUGCCUUCCUUAAUGUUCUAAUGUGAUAUAAUCACACUUUAACAUGUAGCAUUUCUAGCUACCAACUUCUUUAACAACGAGCACGAUACUUCUAUUGAUCGCUCUGAUUUCAUUUGAUUAGUUUAAGUCGGAUGCUACAUGAACCACGUAACAUACUCAUCGUAGUCGGACUCAAUGUGUUCUGACCACUAGGGUCGGGAUAACAACAAUUUUCUUAGUCAUUACAGAAAAAAUGGUAACGACAUACUUGAAUAAAAUGAAUUCAAUUACUAGCUCGUUGGUAACCUUGUGACUUUCCCUGAUCGAAGUGUGAGUCCUGUGCUUCCAGUAGUAUAGACCUCUACUACCUUUCACACCUACUCAUACUCGUCCCAAGUAUUGUCCCGCAAUUUUCCAAGUCACCAUACAAGAAAUUCAUGUAACAACUUAACACAUCAUAUAUCAAAACGAAGGUUUUAUAUUAUUCCUCAAAAUGAUCACAUAGGUGUUCAAGUUCACCCUAGACUAUGCCUCUAACAGGCUAUAUCACGUGGUACUAUCUACACAACUACUUCAUAACUCGUUCUCUUGAUGUCAAGCCUUCACUCCUGAAUCCUUGCAGUGUCAUCUGCUUCGUCAAGGAUCAUUUGAAAUGCUCUCGCCUUUGGCUUUGGCGGCACAUUUGGCUUCGUAGCCCCUUCUCUCUUUGGGCAGUCUUGUUUGAAGUGUCCCUCUUCACCACACUUAAAGAAGACUUCUCUCUUGGUUGUGCAUUCGCUGGCAUAAUGACUAGUCUUCCCUCAUUGAAAGCAGGUCAUCUCUUUAGAGCAUUUCCUGAUGUGCUUCUUUCUACACUUGUCACACCAUUGCGUUCCUUUUUCGAACUUCUUUCAACCAGACUUCGAGAAUUUUACCUUCUCGUCGGACCUUGAAGAUCCUUCAAAAUUUUCUCUUUUCGCCAACCUCCAUCUUGAUGGCAGCUCUUCCCUUGAUCAUAUCUUCAACAGACUUGGCAACCCAGAUAGCUGCCUCUAGAGUAGGUUCUUGACGUACGGGCACUGCAUACUCCCAUGGAAGUCCUUUUGCGUACUUGUCGAUUUUCGUCAGCUCAUCCGGAAAAAGACGUAAAGCAAACUCCAUCUUUUCUGUGAAGUUGUCCAUGUAUUCAUCGAUUGACAUGGUUCCCUUCUUCAGGGUUAGGAACUGGUUCUCUAGCUCAAGAAGGUUUUGAGCUGAGCAGUACUUUCGUUUGAAUUGCACUGGAAAUUCUGCACAUGUCAGUUGCAGGGGCUCAUUGGGGCUUAGGGCCUUCCCCAAGGUAUUCCACCAAUGUACAGCGCCUCCUCGAAACUGACGCACUGCAAACGUGGUCUGUAGUUUCCUCUACAACCUCACGUCAUGAAAGCUAACUCCAUCUCCGAGAUCCAAUCCAUGACCCCGAUCGGACCUUCCUUUCCCGUGAAAUUCGAUGGCUUGCAAGUCAUAAAAUCCUUGUACUUGCAUCCAUUCCUCUCGACUCUAUCAUCUUAGUUGUUUUGUUGAACUAUUGGUGGGUUGACUUGACCAACGGUUCCACUGUAGUUUCCCUCCUCAGUCUGCCCUUCAUUCAACUUGGGUUGUUCAAUUUGUAUGGUCGCUUCCUCUCGAUUUUGCUGGCGCAAACGUCUGGUUUCCUCCAUUUGACAAUCCAACAUCGCCUGGAUCAUUGCUUGCACUCCGGCCAUCNCUCCCGCCAUGGUGAUUGGCUCAGGUGCGACUUCUACUACGACUGGCAUUUGCUGUAUCACUGGGGGUUGAUCUCGGUUCCCAUUUUCAUUCACGUUUCCGCUACGGGUCCUUGCCAUCUUAUCUAUACACCGAAUAAGGUGAAUCUAGAUCCUUAUUUAGGAUUGGCAUUUAAAUCAUCCUUAUCACCCCGAAACGUUUAUAUGCUAGCUCUAAUAUCGUAGUCGUACGUUUAGAAUCCUAAACACAUAAGGUUUCCAGAUCCGGUCAGCAACAGACCAUAGAUCCGAACAAAUAACAGCAUAUCAGGCACAAGCAUUUAGCACAUAAAAGCAUUUUAGGCACAAUUCCUAAAAUAAGCUAGUCCCCACACCUCACAAUCAUCGCUUAGCAUUCUAAGUUUAAGUCUAGAAAUAAAUCCAUAUUUCUAGUUCAGUUAAACUAAUGCUUUGAUACCAACUGUGACAUCCCCAUUUGUACGGCCAAAAAAGACCAAUUUUGUUUAUGCUUUAUAAAAAUCAGAGUAUGUCUUUUAAUAAAAGUGUUGCGGAAUUUGUUCCCAGUAAAACAUGAUAAAUACAUUAUCAAAGCGUUUACGAAGAAAAGUAUUUUUAUUCAUUUUAAAACAUUUGGGAAGUCAUCAUCAAUACUGAAACAUAAGCAUAAACAGAACUAACAUUCAUUAUCACUAGUGAUCUACGUCUCUUUUAAAUCUCUUAGUCUAAUGUGACUUCAUAUCAACACCUGUGAUAUAAAUAAACUGAGUGGGUCAGGUUGGGAAACCUGGUGAGUACAUAGGGAUUUCAAUUCCACAAUGUUAUACCAUAUAUAUAGUUUAAAACUCACAAAAUAUACAAUUUCACCAUAUAUAUAAACAACUCUUAUCCCACACCGUCGAUCCUCACAACGAGACUAUCCAUACUCUCGGACCUAAGAUUAGCCGUUUUACCUAAUCCAUACUCCCGGAUCAGAAAUGAACGACUUUACCUAAUCCAUACUCUCGGACUAAGGACGAAUGACUAAUCCAUACUCUCAGAUUAAUGAUGAAUGAUUAUGCCUAAUCCAUACUCUCGGACUAGGGACAAUGACUAUGUCUAAUCCAUGCUCCCGGAUCAAUGACAUAUACUAAGGUUUUAUUCUCUGAGUAUAAUUCACUCGUUCUCGUAAGAAAACACUACCCAAUAUUCCUCAUAAUUAAUUUAGGUUUACUCUUUAUCCGAAAUCAGCAUAUAUAAACAGGUAUGUUAUUUAACAAGUAUCUCAGGCAACAUCACAUAAUUCGCACAUAAACAUAUAUUUAAUACAUUCAAUCAAUACUUGUAUUAAAAUCAUGUUCAUGAAACGGACUAUGCACACACUUGAUAAGGUGGUGACUCAGCACUCGGACAGCGCUUCGAUACUCUCAAAAUAAUUUUCCUUCGAUAAAACCUAGUAUCAAUACCACUAGGGUUUAGUCUAACGAUAGCCGCGACAAAUUAAUAGUCUAGUUAUUAUUAUUAUUAUAUAAGCGUUAAAUAACACUCAAUAUAACUCAUAAUAAUAUCCCAAAUAAUUAUUUUAAGGACCUAAUAACAUUACUAUAAUUAUUUGAAAGCUAUAUUAAAAAUUGCAUAAGCGUAGCUCACUUACAACAGAUUUUAAACAAAACUGGGCUUUGCACGGAGCAGCUUUUCCGAAACUGAAAGACCCUUUUUCUCGGGACUCCGGGAGCCUUGGAGCUUCCUUAGGGUGCUAGGGGUUCACCUAGACUUUUGGGGACUCAAAAGGGCUAGAGAGAGAAAGUUCUUAGAGAGAGAGAGUGGGAUUUGGUGCAAGAAAACUGGCUGCCCUCGCACCCCUUUUAUAGGUGCGAGGCUUCGCACUACGCGGGGCGUUAAGAAGGUUACGCGGGGCGUAACUUCGGAUAAGAAGACCAGGUGGCGAAGGCUCGGUGGUGCGACAUGGCUUCUCCUGGACCGAGCAAGGCUAUGCGAACACAGCGCGUACGAGACCGGACGCUGGUCGUAGCGAGGGGCUACGUGUCGCAAUCCGAAGCGACUUCUGGAACCAACAUCGAACGGCUGUGGCGCUGCCACGUCAUAAGUGUCGCACCAGACUUCAUAAUUUCGAAUUCGAACUUCACAAAUUCGUAUCUUUUUCAUACAAUCUCUAUUUUUGACGUUCUUUAUAUCCACGUGAAGGUGGGAGCGUACUUUACAACUUUCGUUUAGACUCCGUCGGCUAAUUUUGACUUUACUUUAAAAAAUACAUUAUUAACAGGCCGGGACAGGAUUAGUCCGUUAAAUUCUCAUAACUUCUUCAUCCAACGUCCGUUUCACCCAUCUUUUUCUCAUUACGCUACUCUUAACGAGAUCUUCGAUUCUCGUUUAGGUCGUGUCGGCUAAAAAC
RNAcentral lists this long non-coding RNA (5228 nucleotides) under Lactuca sativa (garden lettuce). RNAcentral describes it as "long non-coding RNA (LSAT_LNC005021)". Lineage: Eukaryota; Viridiplantae; Streptophyta; Magnoliopsida; Asterales; Asteraceae. The record is from RNAcentral.